This 353-nucleotide unclassified non-coding RNA is filed under the name Vibrio splendidus. Its description in RNAcentral is "16S-23S ribosomal RNA intergenic spacer". The record is from RNAcentral. Lineage: Bacteria; Pseudomonadati; Pseudomonadota; Gammaproteobacteria; Vibrionales; Vibrionaceae.
UACGAAGAUACUUACGAUGAGUGUCCACACAGAUUGAUGGUUUAGAUUUAGUUAAAGCCAGAGCUUUAAUUAAUAACGUAAGUUAUUGAUUAAAGCUUUUUGCUUUAUGCUCUUUAACAAUUUGGAAAGCUGACUGAUUGAUUACUUACGAGUAAUUCAAUCAAAUUUAAAAGUUCUCAAUGUUUAUCUUUCAUUAGAUAAACACAACAAACACAUUCAAGUGUCUUGUAUUCGAAUCAAUGUUUACAUUGAUUCACAAUUGAGUCCGGCAAACAGUUAUCAAGAAUUAACCCUUCUUGAUGACAACCAAAAACCUUGGUUAGUUGCCAUACGCUAAGACCCUUUCGGGUUGU